RNAcentral lists this ribosomal RNA (253 nucleotides) under uncultured bacterium. RNAcentral describes it as "partial 16S ribosomal RNA". It matches the Rfam family "Bacterial small subunit ribosomal RNA", at positions 524 to 776 of the family's 1533-position model. The record is from RNAcentral.
UACGUAGGGGGCAAGCGUUGUCCGGAUUUAUUGGGCGGAAAGAGCGUGUAGGCGGCUUUGCAAGUCCGUUGUGAAAACUCGAGGCUCAACCUCGAGACGCCGGUGGAAACUGCAAAGCUAGAGUCCGGAAGAGGAGAGUGGAAUUCCUGGUGUAGCGGUGAAAUGCGCAGAUAUCAGGAAGAACACCCGUGGCGAAGGCGGCUCUCUGGGACGGUACUGACGCUGAGACGUGAAAGCGUGGGGAGCGAACAGG